Molecule: RNA transcript, 3785 nt
Organism: Mus musculus (house mouse)
Lineage: Eukaryota; Metazoa; Chordata; Mammalia; Rodentia; Muridae
Gene name: predicted pseudogene 5177
Exons: 3
Source: RefSeq, marked validated
GUUGAGUCAGUUAUCAUUGGAGUCCAUCUGGAGGAAUUUCUACCCAGCCUUGAUUGAUAUUUUCUCCUUGAAGCUGUGGGGAUUUUGACUUGUCAGCUAAAUAUUGUGGUCUUCAAUUUUCUUAUCUUCAAAAGGUCUAAGAGAGUUUUGUAGAAAAUGAAAUAAUAUUAUACAGCUCAUUUUUCUUAUAUUUCUCAGCAAAGGUGAACAAUGUUUCCAGUUCUCAAGACAUUAUAUUUUGUUCUGAAGAGGAUAUGUAAGCAGACAGCUAUAUAUCAGCUGCAAAAACACCCAGUUGCCAAGAAGAGUGGAGGAGGGAUUAAUCCCCACAGGAGAGGUCCACAAAUUCCCAGGCCGCUGCAUCUUAAAGGAUGAACACCAUUUCUAAGAUCCUGUGACCUGGAUAAUCAAGAUUCACCACCACUUAUCCUAACUCCAAAAGUCAUCAGAGCUCUCUGCUCCUCCCUGUUCCAGAGACAGCCGCAUCUUCUUGUGCAGUGCCAGCCUCGUCCCAUAGACAAAAUGAUGAAGGUCAGUGUGAACAGAUUUGGCCGUAUUGGUCUCCUGGUUACCAGGGCUGCCGUCUGCUCUCAACAUGGCAAAGUGGAGAUUGUUGCCAUCAACGAUCCCUUCAUUGACCUCAACCUCAUGGUCUACAUGUUCCAGUAUGACGUCACCUAUGGAAAAUCCAAUGGCACAGGCAAGGCUGAGAAUGGGAACAUUGUCAUCAAUGGGAAGCCCAUCACCAUCUUCCAGGAGCAAGACCCUGCUAACAUCAAAUGGGGUGAGGCCGGUGCUGAGUAUGUCGUGGAGUCUACUGGUGUCUUUACCACCAUGGGGAAGGCUGGGGCCCACUUGAAGGGUGGAGCCAAAAGGGUCCUCAUCUCCACCCUUUCUGCUGAUGUCCCCAUGUUUGUGAUGGAUUUGAACCAUGAGAACUAUGACAACUCACUCAACAUUGUCAGCAGUGCAUCCUGCACCACCAACUGCUUAGCCCCCCAGCCAAGGUCAUCCAUGACAACUUUGGCAUCGUAGAAGGGCUCAUGACUAUGGUUCAUGCCAUCAGAAGACUGUGGAUGGCCCCUCUGGAAAGCUGUGGCAUGAUGGUCGUGGGGCUGCCCAGAACAUCAUCCCUAUAUCCACUGGUGCUGCCAAGGCUGUGGGCAAGGUCAUCCCAGAGCUGAAUGGGAAGCUCACUGGCAUGACCUUCCGUGUUCCUACCCCCCAUGUGUCCAUCCUGGAUCUGAUGUGCCACCUGGAGAAACCUGCCAAGUAUGAAGACAUCAAAAAGGUGGUGAAGCCGGCAUCUGAGUGCCCACUGAAGGGCAUUCUCGGCUACACUGAGGACCAGGUUGUCUCCUGCAACUUCAACAGCAACUCCUACUCUUCCACCUUUGAUGCUGGGGCUGGCAUUGCUCUCGAUGACAACUUUGUCAAGCUAAUUUCCUGGUAUGACAAUGAAUACAGCUAUAGCAACGGAGUGGCGGACCUCAUGGCCUACAUGGCCUCCAAGGAGUAAGAAACCCUGGACCACCCACCCCAGCAAGGACACUGAGAGUAAGAGAGAGGCCCACGGGUUGCUGAGGAGUCCCUAUCCCAGCUUGGCAUCCAACACUGAACAUCUCCCUCACAAUUUCCGUUCCAGACCCCCAUAAUAACAGGAGGGGCCUAGGUAGCCUUCCCUACUCUCUUGAAUACCAUCAAUAAAGUUUGCUGCACCCACAAAAAAAGGUCAUCAGAAUUUAUCCCUUUAGAAAAAAUUUGGAGAUUAGUCAGGGGUACUCUCCAGGUGAAGGUGGUCACUUUUCAUAUCUUUUUCCCAAAAGUACUCAUAUAUUUUAUUGAUUAUAUGCUUGAUUAAUGGUAGCUGGUGCUCCUUACUUAGAGCUUGUGAUGUAGCUCAAUUGUAAAACAUCUGGCUAGCAGAAACAAGACUCAGAGCUCAGUGCUCAACAUCACACCCACACACACACACACAUGCACACACACAGUUACACACAGACACAAACACAUGCACAUAUAUACUUAUAAAAAUACACACACAAACACACACAGACACACAGAGGAACACACAGAGACACACAGGCACAGGCCUCAUAAUGAACAGAAAAAGAAAGGGCUGUAAAUGCUUUUCAACUGUUGCAAUAUGAUGAAAAUCCAAGGGCUUUGUGUGCUAAGAAGAGCCAGAAUGGUUGUUAUUUCCAAACACUGUGCCAUUAAGGCUAAUUCCCAGAGUAACCAGGUUUUGUUUUGUUUUGUUUUCUUUGUUUUUUCUUUGUUUUGUUUUCUUUGUUGUUGUUUUUUCUUGUGGCACAGGUCAGUCAUCAAACCUUUCUCAACCUACUCUCCCUACCUACAAAUGAGUCAGUUGAUAAGAAGUCUAAUGCAAUUUACCAAUUGUUUGACAUUUUGUGUUUGUUAAUUUUAGGGUUUCCCAGAGCUCUUUAAGAAGCUAUUUGAUGUCUGUUUGUGCGUUGGUUCGUUUGACAGGCAACAUGGGAGAACACUGGGCAGGAGGAGGGUGUUCUUCCCAUCAGCCCCUGCAGUCGUUUUGACCCCCCUUUCCCACUGAUUCUUUUUGAAAUCUCAGCUGCAAACAUUCUCCUCCCUCUGCCAGGGCGCUGUUCGUGGUAUUACUCACUAUUUGUCUCAGAAGUCACAGUAUUUUUAGCAGCCCCAUCAGGAGUUUAGGGAGACAGCUCAAACACAUGAUACAACUCAAAUAAAGAAAGCCUUGCACAUCUUAGGCUACCUGGCUUCUGACAUCAUAGCUGAGAGGCAAAUGGAAUCAUACGUGGCUGAAGUCUCACUGGCCCACAGUGUGCAUGGUCUAGGAGAGCCCAUUUCAGUGGAUUCUGGAGGUCUCUCACAAGCACAUGAUGAAAAAGGGCCCUGUGUCAUUUUCUCCACAAGGUUCUUCCCUCCUUAUGAGAUACACGUGCAGAAUAGAAUUAUCUUCAUUACAGAGGGUUUUCUCACACCCUCCCCCACCCAGAUGUGUGGAGGCGGUAGAAAAAAGUCAUCUGUCUCCCAAACAGCAGUUUGUCAGAAGGAAUAUUCGCAGAGGCAGAGGAGUCUUCCCUCCUUGCUGCCUUGUCUUUUAAAAUAGAAGUACUUCCCCUGGAAGCUGACUCUUAUCUACGCCAGGGAUUCCCCUCACACUUACUAUGGAGCAGAGACAUCAUCGUGGAGUGAGAGUGCUGGAGGGCAAGGGACCACUGUUGGCUUCUCGUGAGAAGAUGAAUAAGAAUGGCCUAAGGCUACAACAUGGGGAGGGGCACACACAUUCUGAAGACAAGUGGCUACUGUUGUCUGUGUUGGGAGAAGGUUGUUUCAUGUGUCAUAUAAUCUUAAUAUUGCUAGAAAGUAUUAAAUAGCUGAAAACCAGCAGGCUGUCCACAUAUGAAAGUCUUUGUCUCAGUCUCCAUCUCUUCUCUCUUUCACCCCCCCUUUCUCUCUCUCUCUCUCUCCCUCUCUCUCUCUCUCUCACACACACACACACACACAUUUACACAUGACAAUACCUGUUAAAAUGUGUUUCUCCAUUAAAAAAUUAAUAAUGAGCAAUCAGUUAAGGGGAACAUUCAGAAAACUCCCGUUAGUACUGUCUUUUUCCCCUCUUGGCUUUAAAAGCAAGGCAUGUAUAGAGAGUCUUGCUAAGAGGAAUGCACUUUCCUCUCCAACCAUCUCAAGUGUCUAAUUGGUCUGCUAAUUCUAUAGCAAUCAAUUUUAAUAUUUUAAAACUAAAUGACUUCCUACCACUUUGUUCAUAUUUCUUGAACCAC